GACGUGCCCCGCUGCCAUUGGUCGACGGAGGGUAUAUAAGGGAGCGCCACCGAGGACUUCCCCUCAGUCCGAGUCAGUCGGUCGUGGAACUGAGAGGAGGAUCUUGGCUUCCUCCUCUUCCUACACCUGGUAUACGGUGAUUACAGGUGCCAUGGUACCAAGCAAGGGCUGGUCGUGGAUGCUGGUGGCGGCGGCGGCGGUGCUGGCGACGGCGGGGGGAGCGGCGUAUCCUCCCGCCCCCCCGCAACAAAUGGUGGCAGCGCUGGGAUCGGGAAGGCUGCCCCCACUCUUCCCCCGCCCCCUCUACCGCCUGCCCCCCAGCAAAAGAUACCUGGGCAUCGAACUGCCGGACUUCAUCGCCGCCAACAAGGGGCUUGGGGACCUCAAGGAGCGCAUGAUGACGUCAGGCAAGUAGCGGAAGUGACGUCACGCCCCGCCAGCCAAUCGCGUCCCGCCCCCACGCCGCGCCACCCAAUGACAUCACGCCAACCCUCUGACGUCACGGACUCUUGCUGACGUCAUGUGUUUACUUUUGUUUUGGUAGCGAUUUGCAUUUGUUUUUGUUGAUUUUGGGGAAGUUUUGAAAGGAAUAUUAGAAGAAGAGGAAGAUGAAAUAGAAGCAGCAGUUAUGGAAGAAGAUAAAGAAGAGGAAGAAAUGAUUUGGAUGAGUUUUGGGAAAGUUCUGAAAGGAAUUUUAACAGAAGAGAAAGAUUAACAAGACGAGAAAGAAGUGAUGAUUUUGAAAGGAAUAUUAGAAGAGGAGGAAGAAAGAGAAGUAAUAAUUAUGGAAGAAGAUAAAGCAAGAGAAGAAAUGAGAAAUAACUUAAUUGGUCAUUAGAGAAGAUUUAGAAGAAUCCUACGAAGACCAAAAAUGAAAUGAAAAUAAAAACCUAUACUGAGAACUGGACAAAAUGGAGAGAAGAAGGAAUUAAAAAAAGAUCCUAUAUUGAUUGAACACUGGAGAAGAUAGACAUUGAAGAACAAGAAGAAAGAAAGAAGGAACUAAAUCAGAACUUAAUUGGACAUAAAGAAAAAUAAUGAUAUGAUAAAUAAUACGAAUAAGAUUAAGAAGGAGGAAAAAAAGAGAAGAAAAAAUCGAACUGUAAAAUAAGUUAAGUUGAACACUGGAGAAAAAAAAUAAAGAAGAAGAAGCAGAUGAAAUAAAAAGCUAAAUAAAAAUAAUAACAGGAUAAGAAGAGCAGAAAAUAACAAGAAUAAGAUUAAGAAGAAGAGGAAGAAAAAUAUACUUAACAAACCCACAAAUCACACACACACACACUCAGUUAAUUUCAAUACACCCAAAAUAAAUAAAUAAAAUCAUAUAUAUAAUUUCCACACAACUAAUAGAACAAUUAUAUUUUUCCCCUUCUGUCAAAUUUGUGAAUAAAAAAACUAAUUUCUUGAAGUGCAAAAAAACAGUAUGUCAAAUAGUUAUUCCAAAUAUAUGUUAACUGGGUACAGC
Molecule: long non-coding RNA, 1462 nt
Organism: Eriocheir sinensis (Chinese mitten crab)
Lineage: Eukaryota; Metazoa; Arthropoda; Malacostraca; Decapoda; Varunidae
Exons: 3
Source: RefSeq, a predicted model, not a curated record